AAGGAAUAGAGAAUACAUUUGCAAUCGAAGCGAGUAUAGUGUAUCCAUGAUUCGAAUUCGUAUUUUUCUGUGUACCGUAUAAAAUUGAAUGUAUGUUAGUUUUUUUUUUAUGAAAUUUCCAACGUUAUUAAAAAAAAUAUAAUAAAAAUUUUGAUGGCCUUGGCAAUAUCGCACCACCAUUGCCAACAAUGACAGACUUGUUUUCGGAUUCUAAUGAAACACUCUCAUUUUCGUAGAAUAAUAAUAUAUUGCGUAUAGCGUUUUCUAUUUAUUAUUAUUGAGUUUGCCGUUGUUUCGGAGACCUUCGGAGAAUUUCAUUGGAAUCGAUGUUGUAUUAUCCAUUUUGGCAAAUAUUUGACGAGAUUCGGAACUCUGCCGUCCCUCGGGGCCACUUUAUAAUAUCAUUCUCGGUUUUUGGUUUCCCUAAAUCGCCAACGCGGGAAUCGUAAAACGUCAAAACGCGGUAUACGUCAUAUCGUACAGCACAAUAUUUUCGCGAUUUUCGCACGUUCAUAAGACAACACCCGUAGAACGGACAGGCACUUGUUAAAAUAUUGAAAUUCC
This is a non-coding RNA of Cinara cedri, 564 nucleotides long. The record is from the annotation of a GenBank genome assembly. Lineage: Eukaryota; Metazoa; Arthropoda; Insecta; Hemiptera; Aphididae.